Long non-coding RNA from Gallus gallus (chicken), 776 nucleotides. RefSeq lists it as uncharacterized. The transcript has 4 exons. The record is from RefSeq and is a predicted model, not a curated record. Lineage: Eukaryota; Metazoa; Chordata; Aves; Galliformes; Phasianidae.
AGUCUGAAGAGCGUCUUUCCUUCAGCUACCCAGGCAUGAGGAUGCAGACAUUUGCCACCAGACUGUUUCUGAAGGUGUGCCAACAGCCACAGCCCAGAGAGCCCUGGGAGCAACGUUAGAGCUUGUAGGAGCAUCCCCGAUGCCAAUGUGUGACCUUGCUAAGGGCUGCAGUUAAUGCAGAUUCAACAAAUAAAUAAACAUUUGCAAUAGGUUCAGACGUGACCUCAUCCCAACGGUGAUCACUAACAGAAUUAUUGACCUGACCGUUUGCUGCUGGAGAAUUUUGGAAAUGCCAGGUUCAUUACAGCCCUGCUUAUUGCCAGGAAGCAUUACAGCUUUGUGCUCGCAGCAGCUUUAAAGGCAGAUGAAAGCCAUAACGCCGGGUCACCCCAGAGACACACCAAGUGCAUCAUCUCAGGUGACCUUUGGGGCUGGGAAGAAGCUGCAGUUUCCCACUAGCAUCCAUGAGUCAACACGAGCAUCAAGUCACAGCAGCACGCCGAACCUCAUUUAUCAUUCCAUUUAAGGUGUCAGCAGAGCCAUUAUUCAAAUGAAUGGCCACGCAUGCAAUCAAUCUUUAAUGAAACAAUAAUUGCACCUUCCACUCUGCAAGACCUCUGCCUUUCUUAAAGGUAUCCUGUGUAUUAAUUAUUGAAAAUGUCUGUGUUUUACCAGCAGUAAGUUAUGUUUCACCAAUUGCCAUCUUUCAAGAGAGUUUUAACUGGGAAAUUUAUGACUCUCGAUUUCGCUAAGGAAAAAAUAAACAGCAGAUACUG